RNAcentral lists this ribosomal RNA (403 nucleotides) under Verrucomicrobiota bacterium. RNAcentral's name for it is "Verrucomicrobia bacterium partial 16S ribosomal RNA". It matches the Rfam family "Bacterial small subunit ribosomal RNA", at positions 355 to 776 of the family's 1533-position model. The record is from RNAcentral. Lineage: Bacteria; Pseudomonadati; Verrucomicrobiota.
UGGGGAAUAUUGCACAAUGGGCGCAAGCCUGAUGCAGCAACGCCGCGUGAACGAUGAAGGUCUUCGGAUCGUAAAGUUCUGUUGCAGGGGAAGAUAAUGACGGUACCCUGUGAGGAAGCCCCGGCUAACUACGUGCCAGCAGCCGCGGUAAUACGUAGGGGGCUAGCGUUAUCUGGAUUUACUGGGCGUAAAGGGUGCGUAGGUGGUCUUUCAAGUCGGUGGUGAAAGGCUACGGCUCAACCGUAGUUAGCCUCCGAAACUGGAAGACUUGAGUGCAGGAGAGGAAAGUGGAAUUCCCAGUGUAGCGGUGAAAUGCGUAGAUAUUGGGAGGAACACCAGUAGCGAAGGCGGCUUUCUGGACUGCAACUGACACUGAGGCACGAAAGCGUGGGUAGCAAACAGG